Molecule: ribosomal RNA, 499 nt
Filed under: uncultured bacterium
Lineage: Bacteria
Description: partial 16S ribosomal RNA
Rfam family: Bacterial small subunit ribosomal RNA
Source: RNAcentral
GACGAACGCUGGCGGCGUGCCUAAUACAUGCAAGUCGAGCGGACUUUCAAGAAGCUUGCUUUUUGAAAGUUAGCGGCGGACGGGUGAGUAACACGUGGGCAACCUGCCUGCAAGACGGGGAUAACUCCGGGAAACCGGGGCUAAUACCGGAUAAUAUCUUCCUUCGCAUGAAGGAAGGUUGAAAGGCGGCGCAAGCUGCCGCUUGCAGAUGGGCCCGCGGCGCAUUAGCUAGUUGGUGAGGUAACGGCUCACCAAGGCGACGAUGCGUAGCCGACCUGAGAGGGUGAUCGGCCACACUGGGACUGAGACACGGCCCAGACUCCUACGGGAGGCAGCAGUAGGGAAUCUUCCGCAAUGGACGAAAGUCUGGCGGAGCAACGCCGCGUGAGCGAAGAAGGUCUUCGGAUCGUAAAGCUCUGUUGUCAGGGAAGAACAAGUACCGUUCGAACAGGGCGGUACCUUGACGGUACCUGACCAGAAAGCCACGGCUAACUACGUG